CAGUCGCCACGGGAAUACGUAGGGUGCAAGCGUUAAUCGGAAUUACUGGGCGUAAAGCGUGCGCAGGCGGUUAUAUAAGUCAGAUGUGAAAUCCCCGGGCUCAACCUGGGAACUGCAUUUGAGACUGUAUGGCUAGAGUGUGUCAGAGGGGGGUAGAAUUCCACGUGUAGCAGUGAAAUGCGUAGAUAUGUGGAGGAAUACCGAUGGCGAAGGCAGCCCCCUGGGCCAAUACUGACGCUCAUGCACGAAAGCGUGGGGAGCAAACAGGAUUAGAUACCCCCGUAGUCCCUGUCUCUUAUAU
This 301-nucleotide ribosomal RNA is filed under the name uncultured bacterium. RNAcentral's name for it is "partial 16S ribosomal RNA". It matches the Rfam family "Bacterial small subunit ribosomal RNA", at positions 509 to 809 of the family's 1533-position model. The record is from RNAcentral.